CAAACCAGUGGAUUUUCCUCUCUGACUUGUGAGUGCUUUCAGUUGAUGUUCCUUCAGCUCUCCAGUUGCUGACACCACCUGCCAC
Molecule: long non-coding RNA, 85 nt
Filed under: Cyanistes caeruleus (blue tit)
Lineage: Eukaryota; Metazoa; Chordata; Aves; Passeriformes; Paridae
Description: lncRNA (ENSCCEG00000003925.1)
Source: RNAcentral